Molecule: non-coding RNA, 893 nt
Filed under: Penion ormesi
Lineage: Eukaryota; Metazoa; Mollusca; Gastropoda; Neogastropoda; Buccinidae
Source: RNAcentral
AAAAUAUAAAAGCUUGGCUCUGACUUAUUUAUAUAGCAAGUACAAAAGAAUACACAUGGUUUUUAUUGAGAGAGGCGAGGUAAAAAAGAUUGCGACAUUAGAUAAAUAAUUUAAGUUUGUAUUCUUUUUUAAAGUAUUAUAGGCUAUAAAGAAUGCUUUGGAAAGUCCCGCUAACACCAGUGCUGAAGGUUAAUUAAAAGGUGAAAACUUGAAUUAAUUUAGUACACUAAAAUCUGGUUAACUUGGUGCCAGCAUCCGCGGUUAGACCAUGAGAUUAAGUUAUAUUUCAAGGUAAAAAGACAGUUAGGUUUAAAUAAUCUUAGUUUAUUGAUCAUUUAUAGAGAAGUAAAAUUUGUAUAUAAGUAAGUUAAUCCAGUCAUAACUAAUUUACUGAAGCUGUGAUAGUCUUGAGGGAAACUGGGAUUAGAUACCCCACUAUUCUUGACUGUAAACCAAUUAAAUUUACCAGAGUACUACGAAUGCCAAAUAAAAAUUUAAAACUCAAAGAGCUUGGCGGUGUUUUAGACCCAUCAGGGGAACCUGUCCCAUAAUCGACAAUCCACGUCAGACCUAACCUUGUUUUGUACUCAGCUUGUAUACCGUCGUCGCCAGGUAACUUUUAAAAAAACAGAAGUUAGCGAUAAAAAAAAUUUAGUAGAUUAAAACGUCAGAUCAAGGUGCAGCUAAUAAAGAGGAGAGGAUGGGUUACAAUUAUUUUAUUCAUAAUCACGGAAGACCAUAUGAAAGUGUAGUUGAAAGGAGGACUUGAAAGUAAAAUGAAAUAUAUAAACAAUUUGAAUAUGGCUCUGAAACGUGCACACAUCGCCCGUCGCUCUCGCUGAAAAAUGAGAUAAGUCGUAACAUAGCAGAGGUAAUGGAAAUUGUCUCUAGAU